Long non-coding RNA from Cyprinus carpio (common carp), 384 nucleotides. RefSeq lists it as uncharacterized. NCBI's taxonomy places the organism in Eukaryota, Metazoa, Chordata, Actinopteri, Cypriniformes, Cyprinidae. The transcript is spliced from 3 exons. The record is from RefSeq and is a predicted model, not a curated record.
CCUUCUGCUCAGAAAUACAUACAGCAGGGUCUCCUGUCGCCCUCUGCCUCGCCGUAUCACGUCGAUCUGAUCGGCGCUGCAGAAGUCGUGCACAUGCUGCUGUUUAACCACCCGAUGAACGUGAAGCAGGAAAACUCGGCCUGGAGUUUGGAUGAAGGAUCUGGAUCUCAGCACAGCGUUCCCGUCGAGUCUUUCUGGAAAGACUUUUUCCACAUGAUUUUGAAUCCAGGACAGAAGUCUUCGGAGCUGGUUUUGUCUGAGCUCAUCAGUAACGUGAGGAACAGCUUGUGAAGUCUGUUGUAAAAUAAUAGCAUAUGAAUUGGUGGCUAUGUAUGUUUUAUAUUGCUUUUUAUACACAUUUAAUAAACAAUUUUUGCAACGUAA